Molecule: ribosomal RNA, 253 nt
Filed under: uncultured bacterium
Lineage: Bacteria
Description: partial 16S ribosomal RNA
Rfam family: Bacterial small subunit ribosomal RNA
Source: RNAcentral
UACGGCGGGGGCCAGCGUUGUUCGGAAUUACUGGGCGUAAAGCGCACGUAGGCGGAACAGAAAGUCAGAGGUGAAAUCCCAGGGCUCAACCUUGGAACUGCCUUUGAAACUCCUGUUCUUGAGGUCGAGAGAGGUGAGUGGAAUUCCGAGUGUAGAGGUGAAAUUCGUAGAUAUUCGGAGGAACACCAGUGGCGAAGGCGGCUCACUGGCUCGAUACUGACGCUGAGGUGCGAAAGCGUGGGGAGCAAACAGG